This 253-nucleotide ribosomal RNA is filed under the name uncultured bacterium. RNAcentral describes it as "partial 16S ribosomal RNA". It matches the Rfam family "Bacterial small subunit ribosomal RNA", at positions 524 to 776 of the family's 1533-position model. The record is from RNAcentral.
GACGAACCGAGCGAACGUUGUUCGGAAUCACUGGGCGUAAAGCGCACGUAGGCGGAUUGCUAAGUCAGGGGUGAAAUCCUGGAGCUCAACUCCAGAACUGCCUUUGAUACUGGCGAUCUCGAGUCCGGGAGAGGUGAGUGGAACUGCGAGUGUAGAGGUGAAAUUCGUAGAUAUUCGCAAGAACACCAGUGGCGAAGGCGGCUCACUGGCCCGGUACUGACGCUGAGGUGCGAAAGCGUGGGGAGCAAACAGG